Long non-coding RNA from Erinaceus europaeus (western European hedgehog), 503 nucleotides. RefSeq lists it as uncharacterized. The transcript is spliced from 3 exons. The record is from RefSeq and is a predicted model, not a curated record. Lineage: Eukaryota; Metazoa; Chordata; Mammalia; Eulipotyphla; Erinaceidae.
UUCCCCUCCAAGCCACACAUAACCCUAUUUUUACAUCCAAAUAUCUCUCCUUUAUUCAACCUCUCUCUCUGGAUCCUGAUGGAAUUCAAGUUCAGAGCACUCUUAUCUUCUUCUUCCUCCUAUCGCUUCUCACCCACUAGAAGCAUGGAUCAAAGCUGGUGCAGAAGUACCAGAUCACUCUUGGCCAAGACGGUGAUUUACCUUACGAUAAAGCCAACAUUGUUGAAGGAAGGCAGAGAGACUAAAAACUCCUUGCUGAUGAUUUUUGAGGAGCCACCAGGUUCCAGAUGCUAGCAUGAUGCAACCAGACUUUCCUGAACAGACAACCCCACCAAUGUGCCUUGGAGAUCUGCUUCCCCAGAGCCCUGCCCCACCAGAGAAAGUGAGAGACAGGCUGAGAGUAUGAAUCAACCUGUCAACACCCAUGUUCAGUGAGGAAGCAAUUACAGAAGCCAGAACUUCAACCUUCUGCAUCCCACAGUAACCUUGGGUCCAUACUCCCA